This 39-nucleotide small nuclear RNA is filed under the name Brugia malayi. RNAcentral's name for it is "snRNA Bm15614". Lineage: Eukaryota; Metazoa; Nematoda; Chromadorea; Rhabditida; Onchocercidae. The record is from RNAcentral.
CAGAAACCUUCACUAAACUAAGGACUAUUUCCAAAAAAU